Molecule: ribosomal RNA, 253 nt
Filed under: uncultured bacterium
Lineage: Bacteria
Description: partial 16S ribosomal RNA
Rfam family: Bacterial small subunit ribosomal RNA
Source: RNAcentral
GACGAACCACCCAAACGUUAUUCGGAAUUACUGGGCUUAAAGGGUGCGUAGGCUGUGCGGAAAGUUGGGUGUGAAAUACCUCAGCUUAACUGACGAACUGCGCUCAAAACUACCGUGCUCGAGGGAGACAGAGGUAAGCGGAACUUAGGGUGGAGCGGUGAAAUGCGUUGAUAUCCUAAGGAACACCGGUGGCGAAAGCGGCUUACUGGGUCUCUUCUGACGCUGAGGUACGAAAGCUAGGGGAGCGAACGGG